UUGCACUCUGGCCUUCUCCCAGG
This 23-nucleotide microRNA is filed under the name Homo sapiens (human). Its description in RNAcentral is "hsa-miR-7703". The record is from miRBase by way of RNAcentral. Lineage: Eukaryota; Metazoa; Chordata; Mammalia; Primates; Hominidae.